Ailuropoda melanoleuca (giant panda) is the source of this 8232-nucleotide RNA transcript. It is a transcript of the gene named programmed cell death 1 ligand 2, with no coding region annotated. The record is from RefSeq and is a predicted model, not a curated record. The transcript has 8 exons. NCBI's taxonomy places the organism in Eukaryota, Metazoa, Chordata, Mammalia, Carnivora, Ursidae.
CUGUUGCUCUGGCCAGAACACCCUUUGCACACCCUCCCUUUCCUCACAUGAAGGCUAGGCCCUCCUUCACAGGCAGGGGUCAAGUGCGAUCCAUGCCACAUGCGUGACUUUCUGUAGGAUCACCAGAGGCUGAUGUCCAGUCCCUGGGCUGAUGAUGAGUCAAGGAAGGACGGUUUUCAGGGUGGCCCCAGCUGAUCUCCUCUCCCCUCUCUCUGCCUUCAGCUGCUUAUGACAUUCUCCAUUUUCAAGAGAGGGGGCUAGCCAUCGUUGUCUGUCAUCACAUUCCAGAUAAACCCACAUCCAUACCUUGGUUGCUGACUUUGGGGAGGUUGCUAAGGCUGGUUCCAGAUAACCUGCUGGCUCCUUGAGUUCUCACCUCUUCCUGGGCUCUUGAUCUUUGCUCAUUUCCCCCAAACCCUGGCUAUACUUCCUUCUCACUCUUAGGCUGUGUUCUCUUAUUUUGUUUUCUCUAUAAGGUGAAGCACAGUGGGAAAGAUUGGACUUGUUUUUUGGAUCUACACUAGUUACUGCUGAUUUAGCUCCUGCUAUUUGACAAGGACUCUUCCAGGGACUUUCCAUGAACAUUUACAUCACAUCACAUUACAUUAUAUACAUUGCAUGUGGAGGAAGAUAUUUGGGGAAGAAAGGAUAGAAGUGACUUCUGCCCUGCAUUCACAAGGUGAUCCUGGAGAAGAUGCACAAUCUCUCUUUGCAUCAAUCUUCCUUUCUACGAAAUGAAUGGAUAGGGCCUCGUAGGCUGGGGGUGUACACUGGGGGGGUCGUGACCGUGCUUAUCAUAUCGCAGUAUUUAUGACUAAAUUCUAAUUUUCCAUUACCAAGUAUCAGUGCAACAGGGAGUGGCCUGUAUUCUACCUGCGCCUGCAUGCACACACGUGCACACACACACAAUUCACAGGAUCUUCUAUUAUGAAGGGAACAACACUAAAUGAAAUAAAUUGGAAACAGACAUAAGCCCUUGGCCAAGUUCUUAAAUGUGUUCUUGUUGCCCUUGGUUAGCCAUUGAACUGUACCGUCCAUGACUGAUUUUUAAGGAUUAUUUCUAUGUCUUCACAAAAGCCAUUUGUGUCCAUGGCAAGUUAUUUAGGAAAUAAGAUAUAAGUAAAAAGAAGGCACCUUUAAAAAAUCACCUGCAAGUCCUCCGCCCAGAAACGCCACUGUUAACACUUUGGUAUCUGUCCCGCUCGUGUUUUGUUGAGGCGUAUGGAUUUAGGAGGCAAGCGAAUGUGCUGAGAUACCAGUUUGAGUUUUAUUUGGGUGCUGUUGUCAAAACACCCCAGCCUUUCCUGGUCUGAGGUGAGUCUGUUUUCCUAAACCUCAGUUGCACAGAGAAGAGCCCAGAGCAAAGAGUGGAGAAAAGCGGCAGAGAGAGAGGGGCUUAGACCAGACAGAGGAAGGCAUACAGUGGGGAGUGUGGCUCCCUCCUCAAGACAAACAGGAGCUCCUUGGAUGGUGUGGGGAUCCUGAGAGCCACACAGGGGACAGACACAUGCCCACUCCUCCGACUAUCACUGUAGCUGGGGAAGAAGGUCAGGCAAGAGCAGGCAUCUGCCCUGAAACCGUGUACCUGGAGUUGUGGGGGGAGAAGCAGGUCCCCAGGGGAGGGCUGGCUUCCCACAGACACAGCCCCAUCCUUGGGGUCUAGGCAGCCAGUCCCAUUUGUAGUCAAUACAAGUUUCAUUCCUUCUUGUUUGAGGGAUUCAGUUAAAAGAAAAAGGGGCAAGGAGAAUGCUGCUUUUUCAGAAGAAAACCAAUUAAAGGCAAAGCAUGGAGAGAGGACAAGAAAACAUUAAAGAAAUAUGGCUAAGAAAGCAGGUCCCAUCUGGGCUUCAGAGCCCUGUCCCUGCUCAUCCCAUCCAUAUGAGCCCAAGGGGACAAGGCCGUAGGAAUGGGGUCGGUCACACAGACUUGCAUUCAAACUGGCCUUUUCUUGCACCUGCUUUGAGUCUUACUACUGAAAAGCCUCACGAUGUAGUGGGACCACAGAGGUCUAACUUCAAAUUCAGCCAUGCAACUGAGGAAGGAUUGCUAGACCUUGACUCUUUCUUCAUAUAUAAAAUGGGCCUAAUGGUGUCUAGACCACACAUCGCUCCAAGAACGAAGUGGAGUACUGUAGUGGGUUAAAUAGUGUUCCCCAAAUAUUUAUGUCCACCUGCAGCCUCAGAAUAUGACCUUAUUUGAAGUAGGGAAUUUGCAGAUGUAAUUAAUUAAGAGGAAGUCAUCCUGGAUUAGGGUGGGCAAUAAUCCAAUGGCUGGUGUUCUUCUAAGAAGAGGAAAGGACAUUCAAAGGUACACAUAGGGAAGGUCAUGUGAAGAUGGAGACAGAGAUUGGAGUGAUCAGCUACAAGCCCAGAAGAAUGCCAAGGCUUACCAGAAUCUACCAGAAGCUGGGAAGAGGCAAGGGAGCCUUCAUCCCUAAAGCCUUCAGAAGGAAUGUGGCCUGAUUUCACUUGUCUCUCGCCUCCAGAAAUGUGAGAGAAGUGUGAGCAUAGUGUCUGCUGUUUGAAGUCCCCCAGUCUGUGAUAACUUCUGACUACAGCGCUGGGAAACUCACAAAGGUAUCUGUGUAAGUUUCCAGGCACAGGGCGAGAACAUGCUGGUGUUCUUUCCAUCCCCUUCUCCUACCACUAAGCUUGUACCACCUUCCCCAGGGACACAGUUCAAGGGGUACCUGAGGGCAGAGAAGUCAUGCUUAAAAGCAAAACCAAAACUUCCCAGUAGGCUGGGCUUCAGUCAGUUCCUCAGAGCCAGUUUUGGUUUUAAUUACCCUCGUGUUACAAGGAAGCCUGAGCUGGAUGGAGAUGAUAACUUUUCUUCCCUUGCUUCAAGUACCUUAGUGACAGCUUUUUGUGACCCACCCUCGUAUGUCCCUCCGCCAGCCAGAAAGAGUCCUGGCUCAGAGCUACUGCUUGUUGUAGUGUUCAAGACAGUGACCUAUGUUUAUUUUGUUUUGUUUUGUUUUGGCUGUUUGCUGGCUUCUGUGAGGGGCUCUGACACAAGAGCAGCUGUUUGUUUUUGUAUUUUCCUUUACGUCUUUCCCUGAGGAGUGGUGCUAAGUUCUGCUGUGAGUAUCUAGUAGGUUGAGAUUUUCUCCUACCUUGAGUUGGUGUUGCAGACGAUGAUGAGGCCGCCACGGUUGGAUCGGGUACAGACCAUGUUCCUCCUUCUGCUAAUUUUGAGCCUGGGAAUGCAGCUUCAUCAGACAGCAGCUUUAUUCACAGUGACGGUCCCUAAGGAACUGUACACAGUAGACUCUGGCAGCAAUGUGACCCUGGAGUGUCACUUUGACACAGGAGGUCAUGUGGAACUCAGAGACUUAAAGGCCAGUUUGCACAAGAUGGAAAACAAUACAUUCUUGCACAGCGAAAGAGCCAGCUUGCUGGAGGAGCAGCUGCCCCUGGGGAAGGCCUUGUUCCACAUCCCUCGAGUCCAAGUGACGGAUGCAGGCCAGUACUGCUGCCUGAUCAUCUACGGGGUCGCCUGGGACUACAAGUACCUGACGCUGAAAGUCAAAGCUUCCUACAGGAAAAUAAACACUCAUUUAUUUAGGAUCCCAGGGGUAGACGAGGUAGAGCUCACCUGCCAGGCUGAGGGUUAUCCCCUGGCGGAAGUGUCCUGGCCAAACAUCAGUGUUCCUGCCAACACCAGCCACACCAAGACCCCUGAAGGCCUCUACCAGAUCACUAGUGUUCUGCGCCUAAAGCCAUACCCUGGCAGGAACGUCAGCUGUGUGUUCUGGAAUGCUGACAUGGAAGAACUCUCUUCAACCGUCAUUGACCCUCAUGUUGGCAAAGAAGUUGACAUCUCUUCAAACUGGCUGCUUCAUGUUUUCAUCCCUUCCUUCAUCAUUGCUCUGAUGUUCGUAGCUACAAUGAUAGGCCUAAGAAAACAGCUCUUCCAAAAGCUUUCUUUUAGAAAAGACACAACAAAAAAAUCUGUCACCACCGUAAGGAGGGAAGUGGACAGAGCUAUUUGAACCUGUGGUCUCAGGAGCUGGGGUGACCUGAUGGGACAUCCUCAAGAAGCUUCUGGACUCUGAACAAGAGAGAGUAGCACCUGGCCACAUGUGCUCAGGGGAAGGCAGGCAGGCCACCCCUCACAGGCCCAGUUGCUCACCUCUGCAGUCUGACUCUAAGCAAGCACUAUAGCACUUUAGAAAAUGACCGCUCAGAUCCUAGACCCCGAUGCGUGUUCUGAGGCUCCUUCUUGUUGCCAGCCUGAAAACAAAGGGAAUCCCCCCACACACACUUAUCCAAACUGAUUUCCAGAAGCAGAGAUGAGUGGAAAUUUUCAGCCGCCAAGGUCGGGGCACUGGCUGACCUAUGAACUAUCCAAAUGGUGCAUCGUCGAGCACAGCAGAGUCCUCCUAGGUUAGUGGGUUGUCGUUUUCAGUUUGGAACCAUGAGGACUGGAGCACAUGUUCUAUCUUCCCCUUAGACUGUGAGCUCCCAGAACGCAAGAAGGGAGCAGGAUUUUGUCAAUGCUGCGAUGUCUUGGGUGGAAUAGAUGCCUCAUGCACGAUUGGCUCUAAGACGCAUCCCAAUAUGGAAGAGGAUGGCUACGAAUAACACUCUUACUUAGUAUGACCUUAAUAUGAUUGGCUAAAAGGAAUGUAAUGAUAAUCCUUAAAAACAAAAGAGCUGGAUGAGUUCUGUGUCUUUAAAAAAAAAAAAGGAGCUUUUACAAAGGAUGCAAAAAUAGCAUUUGGGAGUGUUUGAGGAAUUGAGAAAGGCCGAACAAACGAAAAUCACCUAUGAUCUCAUCAUCUCAACACAAGUAUUUUCAUUUUUGCUGUUGGCGUUUGGUCCUUGUCCAGACAUGUACACGAUUUCAGCCAUAGUUGUGAUUUUCUGUUCUUUUUUUUUUUUUUCCAAAUUUAUCAUUGUACCAUGGGCUCCCACCUAUGUGGCUGACUAGUUCUCCUAAUUAUCAUUUUUAAUGGAUGCACAAGUCACAGAUCAUAGUGAGCAAGGAUUGGGCCCAAACUCUCUUCAUCCCCUGACCACCAUAAGCCCAUAUUUUGACUAGUGGACUACAGUGACAUUUAGGGUCCCUAAGGACUAGUAUCAGUUCAGAGUUGUUUAGGAAUCCCUGAAAGGCCUGGGAAUUUCCAUUUCCCCCAGCGCAUAAACACCUUCAUAAAUGACCUCAAGUCCCUUUGGGGAUGGCUUCGAGGAAGAUCUACAGUAUUUGUGGCAUUGUUGCAGGGUCCUUUCUGAGAACUGGGGAAGAAGCUAUGACUCUCAGUUGUGAAAACUCAAGUCAGAUUUCUAUCAUGUAGAUCAAGUAAUGCUUUGAUAGACUGGCCAUCAACUUAAUUCUUAGGGCCAACCACCACUGAAGAUUUCCUACAAGUAAAGGAUUCUGAUUGCUCUUCUGGGAUCUUAUCAUCUCCAUUGAAAUCAGGAAGCCCAUCUCAGGGGCAGCAUUUCCCUCCAGCACCCUUGGCCUGCAGAAAACAGCCAUCUGGAGGUAUCCAAGGUGGCUGGGGCUCCCUCACUAAUGCAUUUCUCAAUGCUUUGGUGAAGGGAAUAUUCCUUGGGCCCUUUCAAGAUGAGGAAAGAUGCACAGGUUACAUAUGAUAAAUUACUCCAUUUUCCCUAACUCCUUAAGCCUUUAGGAUCCUUCCUGUACAUUAUUCCACAGAAAUUCUAUCAACUCAUUGUCACCGUUGAGCACAGGUUUCAGCCGAACAACUAAACAGACCACUCCCAGCUGCUCAAAGUCAUACAUUUGUUUCAGCUUGCUUUCACUGUGUAACACAGCUUAUGUCAUAUGUUUCUCAUGUAUGCUUUUAUGAUUGUGUAAUUAGCAAUUUAGGCUGGGUUCAGCGGGGGCAACUCAUUUCUGCUUUAUGGGGCAUCAGCUGGGCUCACUCACACAUUUGCAAUCAGUUGACACAUUGCUUGGAAGAUGCUGGCCUUAGGUGGCCCUGCUCACAUGUCUUGGAGUUGGUGCUGGCUGCGGGCUGAGCCACGUACCUUCAGCAGGUCUAUCCAUGCUUCUGCAGUAUGGAAGCCAGCCCAAAACAGCAAAAAGAGGGACAACCCCAAUGUGCAAGUAGUCUUCAGGUUUCUGUUUGCAUCACAUUUGUUAAUGUCUCAUUGGCCGAAGCAAGUCAGGUAGCUAGGCCAAAAUCAAUGUGGGAGGGACUUACGUGAGAGCCUGAUCUAUAAAAUAGUAUGAUUCCCUGGAGGCUACUGCUGUAACAGUCUACCAUAGCAUUAAGUCCAAAAACCCAUGGAGAGUGUAUUAUAUCAGGAUUACCUAAAUUUGGCCCCAGUCCAAGGUUGUAUUCUGUUUCUCUUGGUCUGAUACCCCUAGAGUCCAUCCCAAUGUUUAUUAGGUAGGUUUCUUCCAGUAUGAAUUUAACAAAAUCUUGUGAUUCUUUUGGAGUAAAGCCUUUUCCUCCAGAGCCAGACUCUGCCCUUCUCCCCCUGAAUAUGCUGGGAUCUGACUCUAAAUAAAAGCCCAAAGACCGUUAGAGCUUAGAGCAGUGGGUGUAGAAAGGACAGGGAUCCCCAUGCAAGGCAGCUGCCUCAUCUGUGCUUAUUACAGGUUUUCAAGCACAGGAGGGCUGGGAUCAUCAAAUAGGGCUUGAGAGGCUUCUUCCCAGGGAAGCUCAGGGAUAUUGAGGGGUUAGGGGAGGUCAAGAUUUUCAGCAUCAUCCAAGUCCGCCCAAACGUUCCUGUUCCUAGUCAUCAGAGUCCUAUUCCUUCCAAAUUUCUGCCUCAACUUCCACACGUGAGACUUGGCCAGUCUGUGACUGUUUGACUUGGGUCUGGUUUUUUAGAUACAUCUGUCCUGUGACUAAAAGGAAUAAGAGACACGGUCUGGACAGGCUUAGAAGCCAUCUGAUGCUCUGAAGAUGAUUUGAGCGGCGAGCUCUGGGCUCCUAGUUUCCUUCCUGCGAGCACCCUGGUGCAGUCCGAAGCAGCCACCUUACCCUGCAUUCCUCAUGACUGUCUUUGCCACCAGAAGGCGACUGUUAGUGCAUCUCCAAAUCCCGGCCUCCUGCUGGCACUCAGACCUAACAUGAAUAGACCGUAAUGUAAUGAAUCACAAUGCCAUUGCCUGCCGUAGAUUACUGGUUCCCAUUUUCCACUGGCAAAGAGUUAAGCUCUGAGUUCGAAGCAAAUAAACCCCAGCAUCCUGUUUUUCAGAGUCUGUUUCCUAGGACCACUGCUGAUCCAGUCCUGUACCAGCCAGGGUCCAGGCAGGAAAGUGGAGUGGAUUUAAUAUUAGGAAUUGGUUAUAAAGAUAUUAGAAGGCAGAAAGAGCAAAAAGUAGAUACCAAAGAAACCCAAAUAUUAGAGCUGCAGACAGCAGCUAGCUUUCUGCUGUGGGCUGCUGACAGAAAUGACAAAUGCAGGAACUGGAAACAGGAAGGAAUUAUCUGCUUCCCACAUUCCCAUCCCCAAGGGCCUCCCAUCUAUUGAACUUUACAGGAAGCCAGCUGGCAAGGGACACUGGUAAAUGCAGUUUGCUGAAUUCUAGCCCGAGCCUGGCGGAACAGAAUAGAGGAAGAUAAGCUUAGAACGGAGAAUGGGAGGUAAAUAACCAAUUCCUGCAUCAAAGCUUAUCUAGGUAAACGGAGAUAUAUUUCCUGAGAGGGGAAAAUACAGAGGCAGUGGAUUCCAGUUACAUUGUGGCACAAGGAAUAUGGCAUUUGCCCAUAUAACGAGGGCCUAAUAUACAUUUAUUGAUUAAUUGGAGAAGAAGAUAGCAAUAGAGAACUGCUUUGGCCAGGAGCAUAGGACAAAAUAAAUUUAUUUUUAAAUGCAUUUUGUAGAGGAAGUUGUAUCAGUUGCAUCAUUUGGUUGCAACUGAAAGAAAACCUGGAGCAAAUGGGCUUAUAUUAAAAAAAAACAGAAUGCAUUUGCUUAUGUAACAGAACAGCCAAAGGUGUGGGUGGGCACAAGGGUCUAACGAUGACAUCAUGAUCCAGGUUCUCUCUACCACCUCUUCCUUCUGCUUCCUUUUUGUGAUCUAUUGUCAAGCAUGACUUUGUAUUUUCAACAGUAGGCUCCUCUUAGGGGAAGUAAACUUCAAAUAGCAUGUUUGCGGCUCUGUUCUGUUUGUCCUAUAAAAAUAGAAUUCCAUGUUAGAACAGAUGCAAGAAGUAUAGAGGAAGCAACUAAUGCCCAGAAUUUGGAGUUGUACAGAUCAAAUAGAAAUAUAACCAGGUUAGAAAAAAAAAAAAAAAAAGAGAGA